RNAcentral lists this ribosomal RNA (253 nucleotides) under uncultured bacterium. RNAcentral's name for it is "partial 16S ribosomal RNA". It matches the Rfam family "Bacterial small subunit ribosomal RNA", at positions 524 to 776 of the family's 1533-position model. The record is from RNAcentral.
UACGUAGGGUGCAAGCGUUAUCCGGAAUUAUUGGGCGUAAAGAGCUCGUAGGUGGCUGGUCGCGUCUGCCGUGAAAGCCCGUGGCUUAACUACGGGUCUGCGGUGGAUACGGGCCGGCUUGAGGUAGGUAGGGGCAAGCGGAAUUCCUGGUGUAGCGGUGAAAUGCGCAGAUAUCAGGAGGAACACCGGUGGCGAAGGCGGCUUGCUGGGCCUUACCUGACGCUGAGGAGCGAAAGCGUGGGGAGCGAACAGG